CCCUUUCUUGCAGUGGAGUACAUGGAGAAGAUCCAUGCCCUUGAGAUUGAGCUCAGAGAUCUGAAGAGAAGAGCCACCCGUGAGGACAACCAGGUCGAUGGUGGUGGUGGUGAUGCAUCGGCGGCCAUAUAAGGCGGCACCAUGGGCUCAGCGCUGCCGAGUGGUACCAUGUAGCACCAUGUGGUACCAUGGGUUGAGAGCAAAAUAAAAAAUGAUUGACAAAUGCUUGGUUGCUUUUUAUCAAUUCUAUGCUUUUAUGGGGAUUGGCCCCUCCCACCUGUGAAGACAUGCACCUGUCUUGCCCAAGGACACGACGGCAGUGACUAGGAUGGUGGAAGUGGGGAUCGAACCUGGAGCCAACACCUUAGGAGGAAAAGUGAGCUGAAAGUAAAAAUGUGUAGUUUUUUUAAAAUGACAAUACUAAAAUACUGGAUAAGACUCUUGAACGCAUCAUAAUUAAAUUAUCCCCUCAAUUACCCCCAAAAUGGAUUAACUUGCUGGAAUAAAAAAGACAAUAUAACAUACAUCCAU
Entelurus aequoreus (snake pipefish) is the source of this 531-nucleotide long non-coding RNA. RefSeq lists it as uncharacterized. The record is from RefSeq and is a predicted model, not a curated record. The transcript is spliced from 3 exons. NCBI's taxonomy places the organism in Eukaryota, Metazoa, Chordata, Actinopteri, Syngnathiformes, Syngnathidae.